GUGGGGAAUCUUAGACAAUGGGCGCAAGCCUGAUCUAGCCAUGCCGCGUGAGUGAUGAAGGCCCUAGGGUUGUAAAGCUCUUUCAGCUGGGAAGAUAAUGACGGUACCAGCAGAAGAAGCCCCGGCUAACUCCGUGCCAGCAGCCGCGGUAAUACGGAGGGGGCUAGCGUUGUUCGGAAUUACUGGGCGUAAAGCGCGCGUAGGCGGACUGAAAAGUUGGGGGUGAAAUCCCGGGGCUCAACCUCGGAACUGCCUUCAAAACUAUCAGUCUGGAGUUCGAGAGAGGUGAGUGGAAUUCCGAGUGUAGAGGUGAAAUUCGUAGAUAUUCGGAGGAACACCAGUGGCGAAGGCGGCUCACUGGCUCGAUACUGACGCUGAGGUGCGAAAGCGUGGGGAGCAAACAGGAUUAGAAACCCGUGUAGUCC
Molecule: ribosomal RNA, 425 nt
Filed under: uncultured bacterium
Lineage: Bacteria
Description: bacterial SSU rRNA
Rfam family: Bacterial small subunit ribosomal RNA
Source: RNAcentral